This is a non-coding RNA of Bos taurus (domestic cattle), 72 nucleotides long. Lineage: Eukaryota; Metazoa; Chordata; Mammalia; Artiodactyla; Bovidae. The record is from Rfam.
UCCCUGGUGGCUCAGACGGUAAAGCAUCUGCGUGCAAUGCAGGAGGCCUGGGUUCGAUCCCUGGGUGGGGAA